UCGAAAUCGAGGUCGCAAAAGAAAUCCACACUAGGUUCAACUCUCCAAUAAUAUUCGUACUUCUGAACAAGAGGAUGACGAUAAAAGAAACCAGACUCAAAGCGACACAUGUGACGAUAAGAUUCUUUGUCAGCAUAAAGAAUUCCUAAUUCUUGAAGUUUUUUCCAAUUUUCAUGCAUUUUGUCUUGGUCAAUAUAUUCCGGAAUGCUCCAUUGUUCCUGAGGUACCAAACCAAAUUCACAUUUGCCAGAGACCGCUUCAAUAACAUGCUCCUUAAAUUCGUCAGAGAACUCCUCAUUGUUAAGGAAAACCCAUCCAUAAUGAUAUUUAUGAUUGAAAGUCUUCUCAAGUUUUCGGAUUGAUUUAAGUAAAUCAUUCAAAUCUUCAUUUCUUGCCAACGUAACAAAGGCAGCAUUAACCCGUUUAUUUGGAAGCCAUUCGGAGCGUUCUGAGGGCUCUAGAUUAGAAAUAUUGAAAUACGAAAGAGUAUCUCGAUUGUCAAUCAGACUGCCCUCAAAUACACUGAUAGUUGGGAUGUAUUGCUUUUUGAAACGUACAAAUACAACCAAUGUAAGUAAUACCACUAAAAGUAAAACACGUUUGAACUUUCUUGGCAAGCGAACCAUUUUGCAUUAAAAAUAGAAAUGCUAUAUUUAUAGAUUCUGUAAGUCGGGUAAAAAGUCUUUAAAGAGA
This is a non-coding RNA of Schizosaccharomyces pombe (fission yeast), 693 nucleotides long. NCBI's taxonomy places the organism in Eukaryota, Fungi, Ascomycota, Schizosaccharomycetes, Schizosaccharomycetales, Schizosaccharomycetaceae. The record is from the annotation of a GenBank genome assembly.